CAUAGGUUAAUGAGGCGAACCGGGGGAACUGAAACAUCUAAGUACCCCGAGGAAAAGAAAUCAACCGAGAUUCCCCCAGUAGCGGCGAGCGAACGGGGAGCAGCCCAGAGCCUGAAUCAGUGUGUGUGUUAGUGGAAGCGUCUGGAAAGGCGCGCGAUACAGGGUGACAGCCCCGUACACAAAAAUGCACAUGCUGUGAGCUCGAUGAGUAGGGCGGGACACGUGGUAUCCUGUCUGAAUAUGGGGGGACCAUCCUCCAAGGCUAAAUACUCCUGACUGACCGAUAGUGAACCAGUACCGUGAGGGAAAGGCGAAAAGAACCCCGGCGAGGGGAGUGAAAAAGAACCUGAAACCGUGUACGUACAAGCAGUGGGAGCACGCUUAGGCGUGUGACUGCGUACCUUUUGUAUAAUGGGUCAGCGACUUAUAUUCUGUAGCAAGGUUAACCGAAUAGGGGAGCCGAAGGGAAACCGAGUCUUAACUGGGCGUUAAGUUGCAGGGUAUAGACCCGAAACCCGGUGAUCUAGCCAUGGGCAGGUUGAAGGUUGGGUAACACUAACUGGAGGACCGAACCGACUAAUGUUGAAAAAUUAGCGGAUGACUUGUGGCUGGGGGUGAAAGGCCAAUCAAACCGGGAGAUAGCUGGUUCUCCCCGAAAGCUAUUUAGGUAGCGCCUCGUGAAUUCAUCUCCGGGGGUAGAGCACUGUUUCGGCAAGGGGGUCAUCCCGACUUACCAACCCGAUGCAAACUGCGAAUACCGGAGAAUGUUAUCACGGGAGACACACGGCGGGUGCUAACGUCCGUCGUGAAGAGGGAAACAACCCAGACCGCCAGCUAAGGUCCCAAAGUCAUGGUUAAGUGGGAAACGAUGUGGGAAGGCCCAGACAGCCAGGAUGUUGGCUUAGAAGCAGCCAUCAUUUAAAGAAAGCGUAAUAGCUCACUGGUCGAGUCGGCCUGCGCGGAAGAUGUAACGGGGCUAAACCAUGCACCGAAGCUGCGGCAGCGACGCU
This 1010-nucleotide ribosomal RNA is filed under the name Escherichia coli. Its description in RNAcentral is "partial 23S ribosomal RNA". It matches the Rfam family "Bacterial large subunit ribosomal RNA", at positions 165 to 1215 of the family's 2925-position model. Lineage: Bacteria; Pseudomonadati; Pseudomonadota; Gammaproteobacteria; Enterobacterales; Enterobacteriaceae. The record is from RNAcentral.